RNAcentral lists this ribosomal RNA (283 nucleotides) under Methanoculleus sp. enrichment culture clone CIBANICRA-50. Its description in RNAcentral is "partial 16S ribosomal RNA". It matches the Rfam family "Archaeal small subunit ribosomal RNA", at positions 493 to 775 of the family's 1478-position model. Lineage: Archaea; Methanobacteriati; Methanobacteriota; Methanomicrobia; Methanomicrobiales; Methanomicrobiaceae. The record is from RNAcentral.
GGCCGCUUUUAUUGGGCUUAAAGCGUUCGUAGCUGGGUCGUUAAGUCUCUUGGGAAAUCCGGCAGCUCAACUGUCAGGCGUCUAAGAGAAACUGGCGAUCUUGGAACCGGGAGAGGUGAGGGGUACUUCGGGGGUAGGAGUGAAAUCCUGUAAUCCUCGAGGGACCACCUGUGGCGAAGGCGCCUCACCAGAACGGCUUCGACAGUGAGGGACGAAAGCUGGGGGAGCAAACCGGAUUAGAUACCCGGGUAGUCCCAGCCGUAAACAAUGCGCGGUUAGGUGA